Molecule: long non-coding RNA, 165 nt
Organism: Notolabrus celidotus (New Zealand spotty)
Lineage: Eukaryota; Metazoa; Chordata; Actinopteri; Labriformes; Labridae
Exons: 2
Source: RefSeq, a predicted model, not a curated record
GGUGGAGGCAGUUGGAAGAAGAGAUCGGUUGACUGAGAGUGAGGGAGUUUAUGUUAUCGUGUGUGCGUUCAGAAACAAAACCACACACAUACACACACACACACACCCACCACACACUCUCAGAUAACAAACCCCAAGAACCAGCAAUAAAGAACAUUGAAGAUA